UACGGGGGGGGGCAAGCGUUGUUCGGAAUUACUGGGCGUAAAGGGCGCGUAGGCGGCCUGCUAAGUCGGAUGUGAAAUCCCCCAGGCUUAACCUGGGAACUGCAUCUGAUACUGGAUGGCUUGAAUCCGGGAGAGGGAUGCAGAAUUCCAGGUGUAGCGGUGAAAUGCGUAGAUAUCAAGAGGAACACCUGAGGCGAAGGCGGGUUGCUAGGCUGAUACUGACGCUGAGGCGCGAAAGCUAGGGUAGCAAACGGG
Molecule: ribosomal RNA, 255 nt
Filed under: uncultured bacterium
Lineage: Bacteria
Description: partial 16S ribosomal RNA
Rfam family: Bacterial small subunit ribosomal RNA
Source: RNAcentral